GGGUCUCAGGUGGAAUUCUUGUUGGGUUUGGAGUGGAAGUUAGACCUGAUUUGAGAAGGCAGCUGGGCGUGGUGUUCAUGUCGGCACGAGGGUGAUCUGGCAUCCGUAGAUCUGACACGCGUGUUGUGUGUCCCAGCGGCGUGUGCUGGACCACAGUGCAUACUGGGGAAUGAAUGCAAGACCUCACUCACUGUUAAAUACGUGGUCUCGGUGGCAAACUCAAAGAAUCCAUACACAGUGUCCAGGCAACUGAAGUAUUUCUUGCUUGACUUUUCUAGAAGCAGACACUACUUAGGGUGAAGCCCUUCUACAAAUGAAGACCCAGGAAGAAGUGAAAGGUACGGAAAGGAACCACGUUGGUGAAAGCCAUGUUCCUGGGAAGAUUCAGAGUGAGCAGGAACUGGGAUGAGGCUACACCCUUCCAAGCCGCAUCCCAGUGGUGUACUUCCUUUAGAAGGCUCUACUUCCUGAAGUGUCCACAACCUCCCAAAACAGCAGGGCUAGUGACUCACAGAUGUGGCCAUAAACUUCUGCCAAGAUCUUUGCAUUUUAAAACCAGAUGAGAUCCCAUUACUAUAGCACGAGAAGGAGCCAUGAUGACAGACGGAGAGGUGUCCAGGUGAUAGGUAAGGAAGCUAGCUGAGCGUGAGCCAGAGGUGACUCAGGAGGCAAGAUUCUUCGAUCGUUUCUACUUCCGUUCCUGCUUGGAUUCUUGUCCCGAUUUCCCUCAGUGAUAGACUGUGACCUGGAAGUGUAAGCAGAAAUAAA
Molecule: long non-coding RNA, 768 nt
Organism: Chionomys nivalis (European snow vole)
Lineage: Eukaryota; Metazoa; Chordata; Mammalia; Rodentia; Cricetidae
Exons: 7
Source: RefSeq, a predicted model, not a curated record